Molecule: ribosomal RNA, 494 nt
Filed under: uncultured bacterium
Lineage: Bacteria
Description: partial 16S ribosomal RNA
Rfam family: Bacterial small subunit ribosomal RNA
Source: RNAcentral
AUUGAACGCUGGCGGCAUGCUUUACACAUGCAAGUCGAACGGUAACAGGUUAAGCUGACGAGUGGCGAACGGGUGAGUAAUGCAUCGGAACGUGCCCGAUCGUGGGGGAUAACGCAGCGAAAGCUGCGCUAAUACCGCAUACGAUCUGAGGAUGAAAGCGGGGGACCGUAAGGCCUCGCGCGAUCGGAGCGGCCGAUGUCAGGAUUAGGUAGUUGGUGGGGUAAAGGCCCACCAAGCCGACGAUCUGUAGCUGGUCUGAGAGGACGACCAGCCACACUGGGACUGAGACACGGCCCAGACUCCGACGGGAGGCAGCAGUGGGGAAUUUUGGAANNUGGGCGAAAGCCUGNUCCAGCAAUGCCGCGUGCAGGAAGAAGGCCUUCGGGUUGUAAACUGCUUUUGUACGGAGCGAAAAGGUCCUUUCUAAUACAAGGGGCUCAUGACGGUACCGUAAGAAUAAGCACCGGCUAACUACGUGCCAGCAGCCGCCGUAA